GAUGAAGAACGCAGCGAAAUGCGAAAAGUAAUGUGAAUUGCAGAAUUCAGUGAAUCAUCGAAUCUUUGAACGCACAUUGCGCCCCUUGGUAUUCCAUGGGGCAUGCCUGUUCGAGCGUCAUUUGUACCUUCAAGCUCUGCUUGGUGUUGGGUGUUUGUCUCGCCUCUGCGUGUAGACUCGCCUCAAAAUAAUUGGCAGCCGGCGUAUUGAUUUCGGAGCGCAGUACAUCUCGCGCUUUGCACUCAUAACGACGACGUCCAAAAGUACAUUUUUACACUCUUGACCUCGGAUCAGGUAGGGAUACCCGCUGAACUUAAGCAUAUCAAUAAGCGGAGGA
Molecule: unclassified non-coding RNA, 337 nt
Filed under: soil metagenome
Description: partial contains 5.8S ribosomal RNA, internal transcribed spacer 2, and large subunit ribosomal RNA
Rfam family: 5.8S ribosomal RNA (bases 1-120)
Source: RNAcentral